Molecule: small nuclear RNA, 106 nt
Organism: Sorex fumeus (smoky shrew)
Lineage: Eukaryota; Metazoa; Chordata; Mammalia; Eulipotyphla; Soricidae
Source: RefSeq, a predicted model, not a curated record
CUGCUAUCUUCGGCAGCACAUAUACUAAAAUUGGAGCAAGGCACAGAAAAUUAUCAUGGCUCCUUGCAAAGAAGACAUGCAAUUUCUUGAUGCCUUUCAUAUUCUU